Panthera uncia (snow leopard) is the source of this 1043-nucleotide long non-coding RNA. RefSeq lists it as uncharacterized. Lineage: Eukaryota; Metazoa; Chordata; Mammalia; Carnivora; Felidae. The record is from RefSeq and is a predicted model, not a curated record. The transcript has 2 exons.
AAAAAUAAACAUUAAAAAAAAUUUUUUUAAUGUGCUGGUGAGGACACAGGAGAUAGAAUCACACAUCACUGAAAUGGGCAUGAGAUUUCAAAAGUGUUGCCAAACAUUAGACUGUAUACAGUCAUCAAAAUGCUGGACUCUAAACAUAUUUAAUCUUUUCGAGUCUGGUACUAAAAUAUGCCUCAAGGUGCUUUCACAUUCCUGCAUAGUAGCUGAGGGUUCCAGACCAAGACUGGCCCCUGUGUGAACUUCAGAAACAUACUCUACCUCUCUGUGCCUGGAUCAUUUGAAAACUAAAGGAAUUAGGGGCACCUAGGUAGCUCAGCUCAUUAGGCAUCAGACUCUUGAUCUCAGCUCAGGUCUUGAUCUUGGGGUCCUGAGUUCAAGCACCGAGCUGGGCUCCACACUGGGCAUGAAGCCUACUUAAUUUAAAAAAAAGGGAGGGGGGGCAGGGACAAGGUCUUGAACAGACAUUUUUCCAAAGACGCUAUGGCCAAUAAGCACAUGAGAAUAUCUUCAACAUUCAGGAAUCAUUAUGAAACUGCAAAUAGAACCCAGGAUGAGAUACCACCUCACAGCCAUUAGGAAGGCUAUUAUAUAAAAAGCAAAGCAAAAAAAAAAAAAAAAAAAAAGCAAAGCAAAACCAAAAGAACAAGUGCUGGCAAGGAUGUGGGGAAACUGGAACCUUUGGGCACUGCUGGUGGGGAUGAUGGAAAGUACAGCAGCCACUAUGGAAAAUGUGAAGGUGAUUGCUCAAAAUUUUAAACACAAAAUUACCAUAUGGUGUAGUAAUUCCACUUCUGGGUGUAUACCCAAAAAAAGCAAAAGCAGGGAGUCAGGUAUUUGCACACCUGUGUUCAUUGCAGUGUUAUUCACAACAGCCAAAAGGUGCAGGCAACCCAAGUGUCCACUGAUGGAUGGAUGAAUGGAUAGACAAAAUAGGAUAUGAACAUACAGUACACACCCUUACAUAGGAAGAAAACUGACAUGCUACUGUACUGAUGAAUCUUUAGUUACAGUACUGAUGUACUUAAGACCUUAUG